CGCGAGUACUGGUCCGGCGGGACCUUUCCUUCUGGGGAACCUCAUGGCCUUCACUGGCUGUGGGGGGAACCAGGACUUUUACUGUGAAAAAAUUAGAGUGUUCAAAGCAGGCCUUUGCUCGAAUACAUUAGCAUGGAAUAAUAGAAUAGGACGUGCGGUUCUAUUUUGUUGGUUUCUAGGACCGCCGUAAUGAUUAAUAGGGAUAGUCGGGGGCGUCAGUAUUCAGCUGUCAGAGGUGAAAUUCUUGGAUUUGCUGAAGACUAACUACUGCGAAAGCAUUCGCCAAGGAUGUUUUCAUUAAUCAGGGAACGAAAGUUAGGGGAUCGAAGACGAUCAGAUACCGUCGUAGUCUUAACUAUAAACUAUGCCGACUAGGGAUCGGACGAUGUUAUUUCUUGACGCGUUCGGCACCUUUCGAGAAAUCAAAGUGCUUGGGCUCCAGGGGGAGUAUGGUCGCAAGGCUGAAACUUAAAGAAAUUGACGGAAGGGCACCACCAGGGGUGGAACCUGCGGCUUAAUUUGACUCAACACGGGGAAACUCACCAGGUCCAGACACAGUGAGGAUUGACAGAUUGAGAGCUCUUUCUUGAUUCUGUGGGUGGUGGUGCAUGGCCGUUCUUAGUUGGUGGAGUGAUUUGUCUGCUUAAUUGCGAUAACGAACGAGACCUUAACCUGCUAAAUAGCCCGUACUGCUCUGGCAGUUCGCCGGCUUCUUAGAGGGACUAUCGG
This 729-nucleotide ribosomal RNA is filed under the name uncultured eukaryote. Its description in RNAcentral is "SSU rRNA". It matches the Rfam family "Eukaryotic small subunit ribosomal RNA", at positions 671 to 1426 of the family's 1831-position model. The record is from RNAcentral.